Long non-coding RNA from Malus domestica (apple), 631 nucleotides. RefSeq lists it as uncharacterized. NCBI's taxonomy places the organism in Eukaryota, Viridiplantae, Streptophyta, Magnoliopsida, Rosales, Rosaceae. The record is from RefSeq and is a predicted model, not a curated record.
UCGGGCGCUUGUCUCUACUUUCUCUCUAACCAAAAACCAAAACAAUCUCUACCUAGCUCUCUAGUCAUUCCAAAAUCUUCCAAUAGUCCUGGAUUUGUCAAACCCAAAAACAGAAACCCAGCCGUGCCUCCAUAGCUGUAUCUCUGUCCAAACCUCAGAAAAAUGGUCCAUCACACCUGCAAACGAAGUUGCAGGCCCAAACACACAGCAAGACCAUACGAACACCAGAAAAUUCAAGGAACAUGGAAAAAGACCAGAGACAAGAUAGUACUGAUCUCACAGAUCCAUACCUAAACCCUCCAUUCUCAGAGCAAAACAUUGAUCCUAUUCCCAGAUCCACAAAAAAGCGAAGGCCUGAACUUCUGCUCGCCUCUGUGCUGCUUGGAUCCCUCCCCCAAAUUUGUAUGUAAUGAAAUGUAAUAAAAGGUGAGAGAGUGAGUAAAAGGGCUUUCAGGCAUACAUAGGUCUUCUCAGCGCCCCCACUGUAAGCACUUCUGAACCUCAACUUUGUUUCCGUUUCUGCGUUCCUUUCAUUUCUGCACUGCUGAAUCUCAUGAAGUUGAUGAAUUGAUGAUGAAAGCUCAGAUAAGUGUUGAUGAAUGGAUGGCUAAUGAAUGUAUUUUGAAGUGAA